CAAAGCCCCUGCGGUUAAGGGAUGGCCUCAUCCAAGUUUGCAGCAAAUUCCAGCCAUAGAAUUUCCCAUAUUGCUGAACCACAGAAUGAGAUUUAGUGAAAAGCCACGGAGCAAUAAUUUACAUGAUGGAAGCCAGAAGCACCGGAAGUGAAUACAGAGAAGAGAAUGAAGAGAACAGAAGAGAUGCAAAGGCUUUCCUCUCUCCUUUUCCCAACUCUGCUCCACCUCUCACAGAGAAAUAGGACAGUGAUGUCCACCAAGGAGAAAAUCACAUAUUUUGAGAUUUGUGUUAUAUGAAUGUGUGCAAGAAUUCUGUAAGAAAAUUGUGAUUUACACUUGUGAAUGAAUAAUCAUGGAGAUCCCAGAAUUAACAAGGUCAUUGUCAUCAUCAUCUACUAUUACUAUUAAACAUUAUCAUAAUAGCUAUUA
Molecule: long non-coding RNA, 429 nt
Organism: Monodelphis domestica (gray short-tailed opossum)
Lineage: Eukaryota; Metazoa; Chordata; Mammalia; Didelphimorphia; Didelphidae
Source: RefSeq, a predicted model, not a curated record